RNAcentral lists this ribosomal RNA (496 nucleotides) under uncultured bacterium. RNAcentral's name for it is "bacterial SSU rRNA". It matches the Rfam family "Bacterial small subunit ribosomal RNA", at positions 24 to 518 of the family's 1533-position model. The record is from RNAcentral.
UCAGGAUGAACGCUGGCGGCAGGCUAAUACAUGCAAGUCGAACGGUAACAGAGCUAGCAAUAGCUGCUGACGAGUGGCGGAUGGGUGCGUAACGCGUAUGCAACCUACCUGUAAUUGGAACAUAACGUUGAGAAAUUAGCGCUAAUAUUCCAUGUGGAUAUGAGACGGCAUCGUUUUAUAUUUAAAGAUUAAUUGAUUACAGAUGGGCAUGCGUAUCAUUAGCUAGUUGGUAAGGUAACGGCUCACCAAGGCAACGAUGAUUAGGGUUCUGAGAGGAUAUCCCCCACACUGGAACUGAGACACGGUCCAGACUCCUACGGGAGGCAGCAGUAGGGAAUAUUGGGCAAUGGAGGCAACUCUGACCCAGCCAUGCCGCGUGAAGGAAUACAGCCCUACGGGUUUUAAACUUCUUUUAUUAUAGAGUAACCGGAGGUACGUGUACCUCCCUGCAAGUAUAUAAUGAAUAAGGAUCGGCUAACUCCGUGCCAGCCGCCGC